Molecule: small nucleolar RNA, 96 nt
Organism: Lolium rigidum
Lineage: Eukaryota; Viridiplantae; Streptophyta; Magnoliopsida; Poales; Poaceae
Product: small nucleolar RNA SNORD96 family
Exons: 1
Source: RefSeq, a predicted model, not a curated record
GGACAAUUGAUGAUAACACGAUUAAAACACACCAUCUUUCGGGACUGAUUGGUGCACAAGCUGUUCCAUGCUGUCUAAUCUGCAAUUCUGAUGUCC